RNAcentral lists this long non-coding RNA (825 nucleotides) under Anser brachyrhynchus (Pink-footed goose). RNAcentral describes it as "lncRNA (ENSABRG00000012653.1)". The stretch from base 1 to 133 matches the Rfam family "Rhabdomyosarcoma 2 associated transcript conserved region 7", at positions 136 to 268 of the family's 268-position model. The record is from RNAcentral. Lineage: Eukaryota; Metazoa; Chordata; Aves; Anseriformes; Anatidae.
UAAAUGUCCUGCAGGUGACUGAAGCUGCUGCAAUUUUAUUGGAGAUUAAAGUUUGAUUGACCUUUGCUGAGGUGAUUAACCCUUUUGAAAUUAAAAGCUGGUGCUAAAUUAUUCUGUCCAAUUUAAAUGCAAACACAGAACAGUAUGCUGUGUCAUUCAAGUGUAAGGGGGAAAAAAAUGUUUUAAUUUUCCUUUUGCACUCAGUGAGCUGUGCUUGCAGACGGCGUGACUGGGCUCUGCUGGAGCUGGCCAGUGGCAUCCUGCCUCCACUCUGCUCAUCACCGCUACAGCAGCCAUACUGCGGGAACGCCAAACCUGGGAGCAGCUGCCUGAAACAAGUCCUCGCAUGCAGGGAUGUCAGCAGAAGCACAUGGAAGCACAUCAGCAAGUCUUCAGAGAGAUGGACUGCUGCUUCUGGGACCCAGUGAAGAAAGUGAGGAAUAGAUAAAAGUUAAACUUGCGGUGGAUUGACCUAAAUGGAACAUCUGGCAGAAGUAUAGAGGGGAUCCUCCAGGGUACUGAAUUAUACCUUCAGGCUUGGAUUAGUAGGAUGUUUAACAAAGAGAUCUAUUUGCCAAAAGGAUCUCUGCCUGAUUUUUAAUUAUGGAACUUUAGCACUUCAACAUUUGUAAUUUAUUGAGCUUUUCUUGUUCUCUAGUAAGGUGUAGAGUACUAACUGUUCGCUUUGGGCUCUUCUGCUUUCUUUGAACUACAAUUUUUACACGGUCGUGAUUAACGCUAUGAAUUCUAUGGAUAUGAAACAUUUCAAUAGUUUUUAUUACCAAUAACAAGAUGUAUUCUCUAUAUACAAAAUGAACAUGGACU